AUGGAUCUUAAAAAAAAGAAGCCUUUCACACUGAUGCAUUGCUAUGUAGAGUUUUCGAAGUAUCCAAAGUGGCAGACAAGAGAAGUUGAAACUUCUCUUAAGAAACAAAAAAAGACCAUUGAUGCAAGUCCGGGCACAGCCACCAAUGAUCUGGGUGAUGCAUCCUCGAUACGUACUGAUGCUACCUCGAUACGCACUGAUGCUCUUGAACAUGAGAAAAGACCUGAUGGUGUGAAGAAGGAUAAGAGAGGUAAAGCUGAUGACAGUGCUUGCAAACUGUCAUUAGAAACUGUGUGGGCAGCAAAGCUAGAGAAGGAUGAGAUCAAAGAGGCGGCAAGAAAUGCUCGCUACGCACAGCAAUUGGAAUUGCGAAAAGAGGAGAUUGCACUCAAAAAGAAUGAAGAUGCACGAAAUGGGAGGGAGGAGGAGAUUGCACUCAAAAAGAAUGAAGAUGCACGAAAUGAGAGGGAGGAUGCACGGAGACAGUUUGAAUUAGAUGAGAGGGUCAUGCUCAUCGACACUAGUGGUAUGACUAAUGUGCUAAAGCAGUUCUACCAAGAUAAGCAGAAGGAGAUCCUUGCUCGCGGCUUAGGUGCAGUCUUGGGAGUCAUGUAUGCAUAUGAAGCAAUACAGCAUGGGCCACUGUAA
This 648-nucleotide ribosomal RNA is filed under the name Triticum aestivum (bread wheat). RNAcentral describes it as "partial small subunit ribosomal RNA". Lineage: Eukaryota; Viridiplantae; Streptophyta; Magnoliopsida; Poales; Poaceae. The record is from RNAcentral.